Molecule: ribosomal RNA, 80 nt
Filed under: Bacillus salipaludis
Lineage: Bacteria; Bacillati; Bacillota; Bacilli; Caryophanales; Bacillaceae
Description: Bacillus sp. WN066 partial 16S ribosomal RNA
Rfam family: Bacterial small subunit ribosomal RNA
Source: RNAcentral
UUCUUGGAGAGUUUGAUCCUGGCUCAGGACGAACGCUGGCGGCGUGCCUAAUACAUGCAAGUCGAGCGAAUCAAUAGGAG